This 253-nucleotide ribosomal RNA is filed under the name uncultured bacterium. Its description in RNAcentral is "partial 16S ribosomal RNA". It matches the Rfam family "Bacterial small subunit ribosomal RNA", at positions 524 to 776 of the family's 1533-position model. The record is from RNAcentral.
UACAGAGGUCUCAACCGUUGUUCGGAUUCAUUGGGCGUAAAGGGUGCGUAGGCGGUCGUGCAAGUCGGAUGUGAAAUCUCAGGGCUCAACCCUGAAACUGCAUUCGAUACUGCGUGGCUAGAGUGCUGGAGAGGAGACUGGAAUUUACGGUGUAGCAGUGAAAUGCGCAGAUAUCAGGAGGAACACCAAUAGCGAAGGCAGCUCACUGGCCCGAUACUGACGCUGAGGCACGAAAGCGUGGGGAGCAAACAGG